This 467-nucleotide ribosomal RNA is filed under the name uncultured bacterium. RNAcentral describes it as "partial 16S ribosomal RNA". It matches the Rfam family "Bacterial small subunit ribosomal RNA", at positions 28 to 507 of the family's 1533-position model. The record is from RNAcentral.
GACGAACGCUGGCGGCGUGCUUAACACAUGCAAGUCGAACGGAAAGGCCUCUUUCGGGGGGUACUCGAGUGGCGAACGGGUGAGUAACACGUGAGUAACCUGCCCUUGACUUUGGGAUAACUUCAGGAAACUGGGGCUAAUACCGGAUAGGAGCUCCUGCUGCAUGGUGGGGGCUGGAAAGUUUCGGCGGUUGGGGAUGGACUCGCGGCUUAUCAGCUUGUUGGUGGGGUAGUGGCUUACCAAGGCUUUGACGGGUAGCCGGCCUGAGAGGGUGACCGGCCACAUUGGGACUGAGAUACGGCCCAGACUCCUACGGGAGGCAGCAGUGGGGAAUAUUGCACAAUGGGUGGAAGCCUGAUGCAGCAACGCCGUGUGCGGGAUGACGGCCUUCGGGUUGUAAACCGCUUUCGCCCAUGACGAAGCUUUGUGUGACGGUAGUGGGUAAAGAAGCACCGGCUAACUACGUG